Molecule: ribosomal RNA, 406 nt
Filed under: uncultured bacterium
Lineage: Bacteria
Description: partial 16S ribosomal RNA
Rfam family: Bacterial small subunit ribosomal RNA
Source: RNAcentral
AUUGAACGCUGGCGGCAGGCCUAACACAUGCAAGUCGGACGAGCGGCGGACGGGUGAGUAAUGUAUGGGGAACUGCCUCUUGGAGGGGGAUAACUACUGGAAACGGUAGCUAAUAACGCAUACCAUCAGAAUAACCCAUCUGGGAAUGGUGGGUAGGGGGGGUAACGGCUCACCUAGGAGAAGAUCCCUAGCUGGUGUGAGAGGAGGAUCAGCACCACUGGGACGGAGAAACGGCCCAGACUCCUACGGGAGGCAGCAGUGGGGAACAUUGCACAAUGGGCGCAAGCCUGAUGCAGCCAUGCCGCGUGUAUGAAGAAGGCCUUGGGGUUGUAAAGUACGUUCAGUCGGGAGGCGUUACCGACAGAAGAAGCACCGGCUAACUCCGUGCCAGCAGCCGCGGUAAUUC